ACUGUCUAGAUGACUAAUCAUCUAGUAAAGGUUGUUUUGGAAACUCUAUGGCCUUUGUAAAUUGUGAAGUAUGAUAGCAGAGAUAUGGAUGUCUGUAAACCUGCAGUUUGUUUUAGAUUUGCUCGAAUUGCUCUCACCAUAUCUAUCCAUUAGCUGGGUUUGGACACAGGGAUGGUAAAACUAACUCCUGAUUGAAUCCGAGACGACCUUCGGAAGGAAACCAGAUACCGUUCUGAGGAAGAAUACCAAAUAGGAAAUGUAUACCAAACCUUGUGGUAUGCUUUUGUGUUGGAAGGUUUUUGAGUCUGGAGAGGUUACACUGAUAGAUAGUGGCAAUCGCCUGUCUGAUGGCUUGAACUGGAUGUCUGUUCUUAAGGAAACCCAUUUGAUUGGAGUUAUAGGUGCAUCCAGGAUUUCCCUAUCUCGGACAGUGAGUUUGUUCAAAUGGGCUUCCUGAAGAAAUCGGAGACCGGUCUCAGGAGAAUCAGGAACUCUUUCGUAAAGUGUCUUAAAAUGUGUUGUCAUCAAUGUGACGAUGUCCGAUGUGUCACGCGCCCACCCCGUGGGCGUUUUAAGUUUUUGAAUAAAGGUGUUACUUUGUUGUCGUUUAACUAUAUUUGCUAACAGUUUCCCUGAUUUGUUUCCCCAUCGAUAAUAUCUGUUUGCCGUGUGACUUAGUUUAUGUUGCAUUUGUUCUGUCAAUAAAGUGUUGAAAAGAG
Molecule: long non-coding RNA, 719 nt
Organism: Xenopus laevis (African clawed frog)
Lineage: Eukaryota; Metazoa; Chordata; Amphibia; Anura; Pipidae
Exons: 3
Source: RefSeq, a predicted model, not a curated record